RNAcentral lists this ribosomal RNA (253 nucleotides) under uncultured bacterium. Its description in RNAcentral is "partial 16S ribosomal RNA". It matches the Rfam family "Bacterial small subunit ribosomal RNA", at positions 524 to 776 of the family's 1533-position model. The record is from RNAcentral.
UACGUAGGGUGCAAGCGUUGUCCGGAAUUAUUGGGCGUAAAGAGCUCGUAGGCGGCCAACUAAGUCGGAUGUGAAAUCCCCAGGCUCAACUUGGGAACUGCAUCCGAUACUGGAUGGCUUGAAUUCGGGAGAGGGAUGCAGAAUUCCAGGUGUAGCGGUGAAAUGCGUAGAUAUCUGGAGGAAUACCGGUGGCGAAGGCGGCAUCCUGGACCGACAUUGACGCUGAGGAGCGAAAGCUAGGGGAGCAAACGGG